CAAUCGCGCCAUGAUGGAUCGGUGAACUUCAGCAGAAAUUGGACAGAAUAUAAAGAGGGAUUUGGUUCUGUUUUUAAUGAACAUUGGAUAGGUAAUGAUGUCAUCCACUAAUUGACUAAAAGCAACGACACCCGUAUCUAUUUCUCCGUUACCCUAACCAACGGCUCCAUUUUAUACCAAGAAUAUGACCGAUUUUCUAUCUCGGAUGAGUCGGAUGGCUAUCGCCUAUUUCUCAGCAAACCAUCAACUGGGAGUCUUGGAGACAGACUUGUUGAUACCGGUAGUAGUUCUGACAAUGUGGUGGGCAUGAAUUUUUCUACAAUCGGUCUUCACUCAUGUGCAAGUGGUUACGGAGCCGGAGGAGGGUGGUGGUAUAACAGCUGUCAUGACGCCUAUCUGAACGGUCCGUACAAAUCAACCGCAUGGAAUCAACCCUGGGAUCCACCCAUACAAAGCGGAAGCAAAGUUUCCCGCACUAAAAUGAUGAUUCGUAAAUGCUGAAACGUUAAAGUGUUCUGCGAAACCAAAUUCCAUCAAACGAACACGAAGCAACAACAAAGAGACACGAUUGCAGAGUUCUUAUUUUGUUGGUUUUUUUUUUUUUGGUUGUUUUUUUUUUCAUUGUUCUUUUUUCACUUACUGAUACUUAUUGAUCUUUACUUGACGUAGAUAUUACAAGUAACUAAUUGAUACAAUUUCCUUGGGAUUUCUAUACCUAUAUUAUAUUUUUCAGUUCAAACAAAUUCACUGUAAACAUAUAUCGUGUACUGCUAUUGUACAUAAAUAAUUGCGUGUGGCAUCGUGGACGUAAUCAAGAUACAUGUCCUGCGUAUAGUCAGUUUUUAAAUUGAGAUAAGCUAUUGACCAACAAGUUGAUGGUACAGGGGUUUUGACAGUCUCCAUUGAAGUCAGCAUUUCGCAAAUUCUAUGGUCGUUAAUACAACCUAUCAUUGGGUAAAAUGCUGGCUGGCGUGUUUCAUACCGAUUACUAAUCCGUUCUUGGCACACUGAUUUUGACUGCCGAUGACUCUGUUUACCUGAUCAGGAUAUAGGGCCCACGGCGGGUGUGACCGGUCGAAAGGGGAUGCUUACUCCUCCUAGGCAGCUGAUCCCACAUCUGGUGUGUCCAGGGGUCCGUGUUUGGCCAACUAUCUAUUUUGUAUUGCUCGUAGGAGUUAUGAAAUUGAUCACUGUUUGUUAUAUUCACCUCUCAUUUAGAGGGUUCACAAUGGGAAUGAGCGAUCAACAAGGGAUGUUUACUCCUCCUAGGCUCCCGACCUCAUACCUACUGUGUCCAUAGAUCCUGUUUUUGUUUCUCUGUUCUCGACUUCUCUUUCUUUGUAGGAUUCAUAACAUUCACCAUUUUCAAACAAUUGAAUUAAAAGGCAAAUUGACGGAAACGUCAUACUGCAAAAUAAAAUAUUGAAAUAGUAUUCAUAAAAGGUCAUUAUAGUAAAAUUUUAUUGAGUUUGGUUCUAUUUAUUUACGCCAAUUCCAGAAUUGUUCACUCACUGUUAUGGGCGUGUGGGUUAAAUCAUUUUAAAGUUCAUAAUGUCAUAAUUUAAUGUGAUCAGGAAAACGAUCUCUUACA
Ostrea edulis (European flat oyster) is the source of this 1591-nucleotide long non-coding RNA. RefSeq lists it as uncharacterized. Lineage: Eukaryota; Metazoa; Mollusca; Bivalvia; Ostreida; Ostreidae. The transcript is spliced from 3 exons. The record is from RefSeq and is a predicted model, not a curated record.